GACGAACGCUGGCGGCGUGCUUAACACAUGCAAGUCGAACGGAAAGGCCCUGCUUGCCGGGUGCUCGAGUGGCGAACGGGUGAGUAACACGUGGGUGAUCUGCCCCUUACUUUGGGAUAAGCCUGGGAAACUGGGUCUAAUACUGGAUAGGACCAUGCUGUAGGCGGUGUGGUGGAAAGAUUAGUUUCGGUAAGGGAUGAGCUCGCGGCCUAUCAGCUUGUUGGUGGGGUAAUGGCCUACCAAGGCGUCGACGGGUAGCCGGCCUGAGAGGGUGGACGGCCACAUUGGGACUGAGAUACGGCCCAGACUCCUACGGGAGGCAGCAGUGGGGAAUAUUGCACAAUGGGCGCAAGCCUGAUGCCGCGACGCCGCGUGGGGGAUGACGGCCUUCGGGUUGUAAACUCCUUUCAGCCAUGACGAAGCCCUUGUGGUGACGGUAGUGGUAGAAGAAGCACCGGCUAACUACGUG
Molecule: ribosomal RNA, 469 nt
Filed under: uncultured bacterium
Lineage: Bacteria
Description: partial 16S ribosomal RNA
Rfam family: Bacterial small subunit ribosomal RNA
Source: RNAcentral